UCAGCGAAGAGAACGUUCUCCGGCCGCUC
RNAcentral lists this small RNA (29 nucleotides) under Bombyx mori (domestic silkworm). RNAcentral's name for it is "ovarian small RNA-25683". Lineage: Eukaryota; Metazoa; Arthropoda; Insecta; Lepidoptera; Bombycidae. The record is from RNAcentral.